GGCAGAUCACGAGGUCAGGAGAUAGGGACCAUCCUGGCUAACACGGUGAAACCCCAUCUCUACUAAAAAUACAAAAAAUUAGCUGGGUGUGGUGGCGGGCACCCGUAGUUCCAAAUACCUAUUUUUCUCUCUGUGAGAUGCAGGGCACUUAUCUGUCAGCGCCAUCAGGAAGUGGGAACCAGCAGAGCGAGGACGCUGGGAAUUUCAGCAUAUCCUGAUUUCAGCCCCUGGAAUGUACAAUUGGCACCAGAUUUUAUGCCAAAUUUCAGUACA
Molecule: long non-coding RNA, 273 nt
Filed under: Pan troglodytes (chimpanzee)
Lineage: Eukaryota; Metazoa; Chordata; Mammalia; Primates; Hominidae
Description: long non-coding RNA NONPTRT002348
Source: RNAcentral